Molecule: non-coding RNA, 48 nt
Filed under: Schistosoma bovis
Lineage: Eukaryota; Metazoa; Platyhelminthes; Trematoda; Strigeidida; Schistosomatidae
Also listed under: 1 other name
Source: RNAcentral
AUCCAGCUGACGAGUCCCAAAUAGGACGAAAAAACUCACGUUCUGGAU